ACAAAUCUAAUGAAACAAAAUUCGAUUAUUACCGACAUUAUCUGAAUGAAUUCUACUUGUUUGUCUGGUACAACAAGUUGUGUAUAUUAGUAGGAUUUUUUUUGUUCGAUUGACUGUUCAUUGUAAUUUUAAUCGCAAAUUUAUUAACACACAAGUUGGAGAAUUUGUUUUUUUUUGGUGUGCAAAGCAGUAACUAAUUAACAUAAUGUCGGAUAUAGAAUGUGAUGAUUGUUCAUGUUUCGAUUGUGGAGAUAGCGGUAAUACGGAUAAUGAGGAAGUUGUGGAUUGUUGCGUUAAUUGUUGCAUUUGCUUGUGUCCCGAUACGACUUUAAAAGGAGAUAGACAUGACGAAAACUGUUGCGCUUGGGUGACUGCAACUCUAAUGGCAAUCAUUGUCAUCAGUAUUAUCGUAGUUGUCACCAUAACCCACUCGUAAUAAAGCUGUGUCGAUCUAACUAUUUUCAAAUGAUCAAUUUUUUAUAUCUAUAUGUACAUUAGGAAAAUAAAAUUUAAAAAAUUUUCGAAAUUUUUAAUCCAUUCAUCCAUUUCACAUAGAGUAUAAAAAAUAUAUAUUACUUUUCCUCGAGCUUUAAAAAAAAUUUCGACGCAAAUACUUUAAUGUUUUCGAUAUCUACUUUAAAUCUAAUUCUAAAUUUAUUAAUACAAAAUCGGAAAUUAUUAUUGUUCUAUCCACUACAAUUAAGUCAAACAAUUAUUUUAUAAUCUCUUUGAAUUCCGAAAAUAAAUCUGUAUUAAGUGAAAAGGUUAAAACUUUAUAUUCAAGUAGACUGACAAGACUUUCAGAUGACAACAAAGGUGUCUUUCGCAUUGUUUAAGCAGUUAAAUAUAGAAAAAAUAUGGACUUGUCAGAUUUAAAGGCAUGAUAUAUCAUAAAGUCUGAUUUUAUAAGAAAAUCAUGAGGGCAGAUUCGAAUUUAACAAUGAUCAAUCCUUCAGAAAUGUUUACUCUGAUCUCUGGGCGAAAACUUUGUUGGCCUGUGUUAUCAGUAUAUCAUUACGAUAAAAAUAACCAGACAUUGUAACCAUGAAAAAAUCAUUAAUCUUAGAACAAAAUGUCGGACGGAGGAUGUGAUACGACUUGUUGUGAUAGCGGUGGAGGUUUUGACAGUGGUGGCGCAUGUGACACGGUUUGCGGCGAUAGUGGCGGAGGUGGUGGUGAAAGUGGUACUUGUCAUACAUCCGAUAAUACUGUUAACGAUAAUAGCGCCACAUAUGAUAUUGCCAAUAGUAAUGAUCCAAGUAUUUUUCAUAAUUUCCACCAUGAUCCCACAUUCGGUGUUGCAUCAAAUAAUUUUGAUGAUAGUUAUCAUAAUUUCAAUAAUAAUUCAGAAAACGUUAAUAAUAAAACAAAUAAAUCGUCUUGCUGGGGUUGUUGUUUUGGAGCGUUUAUUUUUAUAUUUUUAUUAGUCAUUGGAUUCAUUAUGAUUAACACUUUAUAACCCAUGUUUUCAGAUUUUUUUUAGAUAAAAAUAAUAUUAAAAAAUUGUAAUUGUUGUUUUAUUCACAAUUUUUUAUUCAUUUUAUGAUUGUAGAAAAAAAUUUAUUGAUCUAAAAUUUUAGUAACAUUUGUAACGUUAAUUUAGUUUAAUAAAAACAAAUAUCUGGCAACUUUUUGUAUGUUGCAUUGGCUAAGUGUUAUUAUUCAUUACACAUGACAUUUUUCUUAAAAUCUCUUCUUCCUCUCUCUUCGGAAAUUUAUUUCAUAUAAACAAGUUACAUAUAAUAUUAAUAAUCAAGUCCCUAUAACCAACGUUCGAUUGAAUUCAAUUUGUUUGUUAGUUUCAUAGUAAAACUUUUGUUCGAUCAGUUGUUUGCAAUCAGUCGCCAAACUUAUUAAAACUCAUGUUCGAGAUUCAUUUUUUGUAAAACAUUAGUUAGAAAAACAUAAUAACCAAUCAAAAUGUCAGAUUGUGGAUGCGAUAGUGGUGGAGGAUUUGAUAGUGGCGGUUGUGAUGACGGUGGAGGAUUUGACAGCGGUAUUUGUCAUACGUCAGAUCAUACAUCUUAUGAUAUGACCACCAAUAAUGAUUCAAAUUUUUUCCAUAAUUAUCACAAUGAUUCCUCUUACGACCAUUCAUUCGAUAAUAGUAAUUCUAACAAUAGUAAAUCACAGGAAUCACAAUGCUGUUCAAAUUUUGCGUAUGGAAUAUUUUGCUUGACGUGGUUUACCGCUUUUAUAUUUAUUUUAUAUAAAAUAUUCGCAAUGUGAUAUUGUGGAAAUUGGUUUUAUAAAGGAACAUUAAAAAUAAGUUUAAAUGUUUUAGUUUUUUACCACCUUAAGAAUUCAUUAUUGAAAUUAAUAAAUAUUAAAAUAAUGCAUCAUA
This is an RNA transcript of Lucilia cuprina (Australian sheep blowfly), 2344 nucleotides long. RefSeq lists it as uncharacterized. NCBI's taxonomy places the organism in Eukaryota, Metazoa, Arthropoda, Insecta, Diptera, Calliphoridae. The record is from RefSeq and is a predicted model, not a curated record. The transcript has 4 exons.